RNAcentral lists this ribosomal RNA (468 nucleotides) under uncultured bacterium. Its description in RNAcentral is "partial 16S ribosomal RNA". It matches the Rfam family "Bacterial small subunit ribosomal RNA", at positions 28 to 507 of the family's 1533-position model. The record is from RNAcentral.
GACGAACGCUGGCGGCGUGCUUAACACAUGCAAGUCGAACGGAAAGGCCCUGCACUUGUGGGGUGCUCGAGUGGCGAACGGGUGAGUAUCACGUGAGUAGCCUGUCCUUGACUGUGGGAGAACUUCUGUGAACUCGGGUGAUUAUCGCACAUGAGCACUUUCUGCAUGAGGGUUGUGGGAGAAAUACGGCGGUUCGGGAUGGACUCGUGGUCUAUCGGCUUGUUGGUGAGUUAGUGGAUUACCAAGGCAUUGACGGGUAGCCGGCUUGAGAGGGUGACCGGGCACAUUGGGCCAGAGAUACGGCCCAGACUGAUACGGGAGGCAGCAGUGGGGAAUAUUGCGCAAAGGGCGGAAGCCGGAUGCAGCAACGCCGCGUGCGGGAUGACGGCCUUCGGGUAGGAACGCGCGUUAGAGUGUAAAGAAGAGUGAGUGACGGUAAUGGGUAAAGAAGCACCGGCUAACUACGUG